This is a long non-coding RNA of Pseudophryne corroboree (corroboree frog), 973 nucleotides long. RefSeq lists it as uncharacterized. Lineage: Eukaryota; Metazoa; Chordata; Amphibia; Anura; Myobatrachidae. The transcript is spliced from 4 exons. The record is from RefSeq and is a predicted model, not a curated record.
UGAGCUUUGACCAGUGAGAGUAGAAUAUGUAAUUUAAGAGACUUGAGAACGAGGAGACAUCUUGAAUAUGUGAAACUGGUGGAUUCAUUGCCUGCUAUUGUACAGAUGAGGCUUCACUGCAAACUGGCUCCGCCUUCCCGGGUGUCACUCACAGCAGGCCGCUCCUCUCCUCCUCCUCCAAACGCCUGCGUCACCGCCAGCCGCCUCGAUACAGCCACUCACCACUGUCGCUGAGGUCUUCCGUCCUUCGCUUGGCCAGCACAGACUAGCCGCCCAUGGCGGCCGAAGUGGAGAACACGCUACCGCUGCCGCUGGACGUCUCAAAGUCAGCUGGCUCCGCCUUCCCGGGUGUCACUCACAGCAGGCCGCUCCUCUCCUCCUCCUCCAAACGCCUGCGUCACCGCCAGCCGCCUCGAUACAGCCACUCACCACUGUCGCUGAGGUCUUCCAUCCUUCGCUUGGCCAGCACAGACUAGCCGCCCAUGGCGGCCAAAGUGGAGAACACGCUACUGCUGCCGCUGGACAUCUCAAAGUCAGAGUUUUCAACAGAUGAUUUCAAGCAGUGCUAUAUCAGGGCACACUGCCAUCCUGUGCUGGCCCCAACCCAAACAUCUGAUGUCACACGAGGGGGCAGGGAUACUGCCAGUCAGCUCUACACACUACAAGGUUCAUGGAGCAGCACUGAAGCAGGGGUGCUUUUACAGGCUCCUGGCUAGCCAGAUGGCAAUGGCCUGCACCCUGGACAAUAGCACAAUGAGCUCGUCUCUCCUAUGGUCCAGAUUUUAAGCACAAGUCCUAUUUCAAGUUUGAGUCGUUAUCUAACUUCACAAUUUAAGAAAAAUAAAUUUUGAGUACCGUUGCCCUUUAAAGUCAUCUGGACAUAGAAAACGUCUACAUUAUAAAUAUCAUGAAAAUUAUAUGAAUGCUAACUAUGCAAAUCUAUGGAUUUGCUGUCGAAAAAGAUGGCUAAUGA